GGUUGGAUAGUAUAGUUGGUUAGUACACACGGUUCUGAUCCGUGGGACCUGGGUUCGAAUCCCUGUCCGACCU
RNAcentral lists this transfer RNA (73 nucleotides) under Mrakia frigida. Its description in RNAcentral is "tRNA-Gln (CTG) (tRNA-Gln-CTG-1 1 to 3)". It matches the Rfam family "tRNA". Rfam says of the family: Transfer RNA (tRNA) molecules are approximately 80 nucleotides in length. The record is from RNAcentral. Lineage: Eukaryota; Fungi; Basidiomycota; Tremellomycetes; Cystofilobasidiales; Mrakiaceae.